AAACCUAAUCAUGGUGGAAGAAAAGGAAAAUCAAAAAGUGGAUUCCCCUGGGCUGGCCAAUGGUUUCGCCCAGUUGCCACGGAGACGAGAGUAACACCGGCGGGGCGCAAGGUCAGAGUACAUGGCCACGUUAGCCCGGCUGCAGGCUCGCUCGCGGUUUUUAGAAAAUCAGUAUUACUUUAGGAACAGUGUUGUGGAUGCAUUUAGAAAAAAAGAGAAUUGUGCAGCAGUUAAAAUCCAGAGCUGGUUUCGGGGGUGUCAAGUCCGGGCAUAUAUCAGGCAUUUACACAGAAUAGCAAUAAUUAUUCAGAAAUGGUGGAGAGGUUACUUAAGCAGAAAACACUAUCAACUGAAGGUGGAGGUAGCAUAUUAUACUAUGAAGAUGGAGCUCUACAAUGCAAUGGCUGUCAGGAUUCAGAGACGAUGGCGAGCCUAUAAAGUCCGGAAAUACUGUUUUAAUUAUUUUUAUUAUAAACAGUACUUGAGAGCUGUUUCUGAAGCCAAUGAGACAGUUAGGGAGAUACUGCAGGAGUACGCGGAGAUUCAAGAAAGCGAGGAGAAGAAGGCUGAGCUGGAAAGGGAAGAGAAGCAAAGAGCAGAGGAAGCCCGGAAGAUGCAUUACCUCCUCAGCACAAAGCAGAUUCCAGGCAUAUACAAUUCACCAUUCAGAAAAGAGCCAGAUCCUUGGGAGCUGCGGCUGCAGAGGGCAAAGCCUUUGGUUCCCCAGAGACGGAGAGUCCAGCAGAAGCAGUGUGCAGGGCUGGCCGACUGGCUGGCCUGCACCAGCGCCCGCUCCUUCCCUCGGUCCGGUAGUCUUCCUCCUAUCAAUAGGAAGCCCUGCCAGGGGCCCUUCCGAAAUAUCAACGAAGUGUUAGAGCAGCGCUACAAGCCUUUGGAGCCCACACUGCGAGUGGCACAACCGAUAGAUGAGUUAACGCCGGCCAGACAGGAGUUCCAAGGGCAAGAGUGGGUGCGAAACAUCAGUGACAAAAUGUUUCUGCCAUUUUCUUCCCACCAUAAAAAAGAAAAGUACAUGCCAUCCCUGUUUUCCUCAAGCAAGUACGACCCCAUUUCCUGCAGAAAACAAGGCUUCCGGAGUGAAAACCCGGGGAAAUGGAUCUGUGACAAGGAUUUCCAAACUGUAUUUCCAUCAGUUGAUCUCUUCUCAAAGUAUGGAAAGUCAUAUUCAAGAGCUGGGCAGAUUGUAUAAAGGUUUGGUUCAAGGUGUCUUCCUGUUAAAAUGUGGAACAAUUUUCAGAGCAGAUGAGAUGAGUUUUAAUUUAAUUACUUGUUAGACAUGAAAAACAACAUACGUUCUCCACUUCUGUAAGGAUACGAUAUACAAAUGACCCAAAUCACUGAGAAAAAUAAAGUGAAAAUGAAAAAUAAAUACAGUUAACACCUGGAUUGAGAAAGGGAAAUUGAAAGAGGACACAAUGUAGAAGUGUGGUUAAGCUGUGAAGUGGCUGGGAAAUAACAGCCCACUGCCUGGAGUCCUGACUUCCACUUCCUGCCUGACAAGCAGCCGUGGCCUGAGUCCUGCAAUCCAUCUCUGUCUCUGUCUCUGUCUGUCUCUGUCUCUCUUGCUCUUUCUCUCUCCUGUCAGAAGAAGAGAUUCAAACCAUCUCUGGUUCAUUAGAAAACUUAACAGUUUAACAGGAAAAUACAAAUACAAAUGAUUGUUCUAUAGGAAAUACUUCAACCAAAACUACUCUGAUUCAAUAAACUCUUUUUUUGGAUACAAUCUCACUAUGUAGUUCAGCCUGGCCUUGAACUCACUGUGUAGCCAGGCUGGCCUUGAACUCACAGCAAUCCUCCUGCCUCAGCCUCUCAAGUGCUGGAAUUACAGACAUGUGCCAAUAAGCCCAAGAAACUAAUAUUUUGCACUUCUAGUUAUGGAUUAAUUAUAAUGUGGUGUAUGCAUGGUGGUGGUGGUGAUGUGUUUUAAAUCUCCUAGAUCUAUCUUUGGGAACAAAUGCUUUAACUUGGGCCUUUGACUCUGGUGACCAAAAGUUCCAUAAAUAGUUCCACUGAAGUGGACACAUUCUGACCCCAUCACCCUGGUCACAAAUGAGGAGGCCAGUAUUAGGUCCCCAAAUUAAGGGCAGCUAACUCAUAAGUGAGAAUGAUAAAUGAUUUGAAGUAUGGAUGGUAGGAAGUGGUCUGGCACAAAAGCCCUUCCCUGAAGGAAACAAAGACUCAUGAGACCAAUUAGAAAACCCUCAGACCACUGAACUUAGGACACAGGCAGAACAGAUGCAGGGUAGCAGAUGUGGAGCAGAAAUGAAGGUGCUCUUCGAGGAAGGCCUUUGCAGGUCUCUUCCUGGAGAAGAGCAGCCCAGUGACCUGGCUGGCGGGUCUGCAUCCAGCAGGACUCAGAGCCAGACUAGUUCUCCUGAAGCCAAACUGUUCUAAGGUUCCUGUUGUUAAUGAGAGGCCUGAAUUUUCCUGGAAUCCUUAGAAGUUAACAAUCUAGAUUCCUGUAUUCUUUAUCUCAUCUCAUGUGUAUCCUUUCAAUAAAACUUCCCAC
Heterocephalus glaber (naked mole-rat) is the source of this 2530-nucleotide non-coding RNA. The record is from RefSeq and is a predicted model, not a curated record. Lineage: Eukaryota; Metazoa; Chordata; Mammalia; Rodentia; Bathyergidae.